CCUACACGUACAUGGAUCGACCUGCUGCAAUAACACGAACAAACCAUCAAGAGUGAAGCACCGGGUUAAGCAGCGGCCUACCGGCGAAGAAAGCUUCAAGGUUACUGAUGGUGACGUCACGGAGGUCGGACCUGGACUCUGUCGUGAAGACCGCGACGUGAUGCGUCAGCACCACAUUGUCCAUGGAGAAGAGCUCUGCCGGCACCUUAGGCUCCUUAUCAAAGACAUCCAGGCCGGCUCCGGCGAUCCUCCCCUCCUUGAGCGCCGCGACCAGCUCCGCCUCGUCGAUGUUCGGGCCCCGGCCGAUGUUUACCACGACCCCGUCCUUCCCGAGCGCCGCCAGCACGUCCUUGUUCACGAUGUGGCGCGUCUCCCUGGUCAGCGCGCACGCGACGACGAGCACGUCCGAUUCCGACGCGAGGUCGUGGACGCUAGGGAAGUACCUGUAGGAGACGGAUUCCUUGGGCUUUCUGGAGCUGUAGCAGAUGACGCAGCCGAAGGCUGCCAGCCUCUUCGCGAUCAGCGUGCCGAUGUUGCCCAGGCCGAUGAUGCCCACGCGCUUGCCGCCCAGCUGCGAACACAUCAAUUGAAGUAAUAAUUUUUUUUUUUUUGCUAUCGAUCGAUCAGGAAGAAAGAAGGAACAGGACCCGACAGAUCGACCUUGCUGCCGAGGGGAUAGUCGCCGUGGAGCGGCCAGAGCCCGCGGCGGACGAACCGGUCGGCGGCGGACACGCGGCGGAGCACGUCGACGAGCAAGCCGACGGCGUGGUCGGCGACGUCGGUGGAGUAGACCGUGCCGGAGCUGGCGACGCCCACGCCGCGGCGCGCGCACUCGCCGAGGUCGAUGUGGUCCAGCCCGGCCCCCGUGCUGUGGACGAAGCGGAGCGACGGGACGGCGUCCAGGAGCGCGGCGUCCACGCGGACGGAGUCGCCCCCCACGGUCACCAACGCGCGGGGCGGGUCCGCGCCGCCGGCCGCCGCGGCCAGGAAGGCGGCGAGCGGCGAGCCCGACGUGAAGAAGUCGAGGACGCGGUACCGCUCGCGCAGCGCCGCGAGGAACCGCAGCUCUCGGACGCGGAACACCAGGAGCGUCGGCAGCGCCGAGGGCUCGGAGGAGGAUGCCAUGGCGAACGGAGAUGCGGAGGGGAGCUGGGAUUUUUUGCUUGGGAUAAAAUUUAAAUUAGCCAGCGCUGGAGUCGUCAUGUGCUUUGAUUCGAUUCGUUGGUUGCUGUAUUUCUCAAAGCAAAUUGUUAAAGCUCUGUUCCUUGGUCACGAUGAUUAGGUUUAUUUUAAUUUUAGGCAGCUCUGUGAUAUGAAAUGUUUUCUGCACAUUGUGCUUUGGCAGUACAGGCAUCAGUGCAUCACGGAAUA
RNAcentral lists this unclassified non-coding RNA (1371 nucleotides) under Zea mays. Its description in RNAcentral is "misc RNA Zm00001eb418660". The record is from RNAcentral. Lineage: Eukaryota; Viridiplantae; Streptophyta; Magnoliopsida; Poales; Poaceae.